AGCAGCAGCCACGGGAAUACGGAGGGUGCAAGCGUUAAUCGGAAUUACUGGGCGUAAAGCGCACGCAGGCGGUUUGUUAAGUCAGAUGUGAAAUCCCCGAGCUUAACUUGGGAACUGCAUUUGAAACUGGCAAGCUAGAGUCUUGUAGAGGGGGGUAGAAUUCCAGGUGUAGCGGUGAAAUGCGUAGAGAUCGGGAGGAACAUCAGUGGCGAAGGCGGCCAUCUGGGACAACACUGACGCUGAGGCACGAAGGCGUGGGGAGCAAACAGGAUUAGAUACCCCUGUAGUCCCUGUCUCUUAUAC
This 303-nucleotide ribosomal RNA is filed under the name uncultured bacterium. RNAcentral describes it as "partial 16S ribosomal RNA". It matches the Rfam family "Bacterial small subunit ribosomal RNA", at positions 507 to 807 of the family's 1533-position model. The record is from RNAcentral.